AACGAACGCUGGCGGCGUGCCUAACACAUGCAAGUCGAACGAGAAAGGGGCUUCGGCUCCGAGUAAAGUGGCGCACGGGUGAGUAACACGUGGGUAACCUGCCUCUAAGAUUGGGAUAACUCGUCGAAAGAUGAGCUAAUACCGAAUAAGACCACAGUUCCCGCGGGAACAGGGGUCAAAGGUAGCCUCUGCUUGCAAGCUAUCACUUAGAGAUGAGCCUGCGCACCAUUAGCUAGUUGGUAGGGUAACGGCCUACCAAGGCAAAGAUGGUUAGCUGGUCUGAGAGGAUGAUCAGCCACACUGGAACUGAGACACGGUCCAGACUCCUACGGGAGGCAGCAGUGGGGAAUAUUGCGCAAUGGGCGAAAGCUUGACGCAGCAACGCCGCGUGAGUGAUGAAGGCCUUCGGGUCGUAAAGCUCUGUCGGGAGGAACGAAUGCUCCUGAGGUUAACAGCCUCGGGAGGUGACGGUACCUUCAAAGGAAGCACCGGCUAACUCUGU
This 502-nucleotide ribosomal RNA is filed under the name uncultured bacterium. RNAcentral describes it as "partial 16S ribosomal RNA". It matches the Rfam family "Bacterial small subunit ribosomal RNA", at positions 29 to 506 of the family's 1533-position model. The record is from RNAcentral.